RNAcentral lists this ribosomal RNA (500 nucleotides) under uncultured bacterium. Its description in RNAcentral is "partial 16S ribosomal RNA". It matches the Rfam family "Bacterial small subunit ribosomal RNA", at positions 30 to 523 of the family's 1533-position model. The record is from RNAcentral.
AUUGAACGCUGGCGGCAUGCCUUACACAUGCAAGUCGAACGGCAGCACGGGAGCAAUCCUGGUGGCGAGUGGCGAACGGGUGAGUAAUAUAUCGGAACGUGCCCAGUCGUGGGGGAUAACGCAGCGAAAGCUGUGCUAAUACCGCAUACGAUCUAUGGAUGAAAGCGGGGGAUCGCAAGACCUCGCGCGAUUGGAGCGGCCGAUAUCAGAUUAGCUAGUUGGUGGGGUAAAGGCCCACCAAGGCGACGAUCUGUAGCUGGUCUGAGAGGACGACCAGCCACACUGGAACUGGGACACGGUCCAGAAUCCUACGGGAGGCAGCAGUGGGGAAUUUUGGACAAUGGGCGCAAGCCUGAUCCAGCAAUGCCGCGUGCAGGAUGAAGGCCUUCGGGUUGUAAACUGCUUUUGUACGGAACGAAACGGUCUGCCCUAAUACGGUGGGCUAAUGACGGUACCGUAAGAAUAAGCACCGGCUAACUACGCGCCAGCAGCCGCCGUAA